This 619-nucleotide ribosomal RNA is filed under the name uncultured Chlorophyta. Its description in RNAcentral is "eukaryotic LSU rRNA". The stretch from base 186 to 339 matches the Rfam family "5.8S ribosomal RNA". Lineage: Eukaryota; Viridiplantae; Chlorophyta. The record is from RNAcentral.
CCACUCGUGAACUAUACCGUACCCCCCUGUGCAUCGCCCUCUGGGUGGCCUGGGCGGUCGUGCUCUCGGGCCGACCGGGCUCCAAUCCGCUCCGCGGUUGGGGUCGGCUAACUUUUCCACACACCCAAUCAAACCGUCUGUCUGAAGCUGACUCGAGCCGGCAUCGCCGAUCGAUUAACAAAGACAACUCUCAACAACGGAUAUCUUGGCUCUCGCAACGAUGAAGAACGCAGCGAAAUGCGAUACGUAGUGUGAAUUGCAGAAUUCCGUGAAUCAUCGAAUCUUUGAACGCAUAUUGCGCUCGAGGCUUCGGUCAAGACCAUGUCUGGCUCAGCGUCGGCGUCACCCCCUCGCUCACCCUCUCCCGGGUGGAGAUGGGCAGGCGGAUCUGGCCGUCCUCAGUACCCCUUGAGAGAACAGGCUCGGCUGAAGAACAGGAGGCUUGGAGCAUCGGGCCCGCUGAUAGGGCAGCCAGCUUGGUAGGUAGCUUACGCUGCAUGCCGGCUGACUCCCCUAGGGACCUGUGCUGUAAGCACGGCAGGAAUCGGAGCGCAAGCUCCGAACUUCUAACUUUCGACCUGAGCUCAGGCAAGACUACCCGCUGAACUUAAGCAUAUCA